GCAUCUUAGUACGGCGAGUGAGCGGGAAGAGCUCAAAUUUGAAAUCUUCAAGGUUUGACCUUGACGAAUUGUAGUUUAUAGAAGUGUUUUCUGUUGGAGUUUUGGUAAAAGUUCUUUGGAAUAGGACAUCAUAGAGGGUGAGAAUCCCGUAUUUGACCAUGACUUUCCAGCUGUGUGAUACACUUUCAAAGAGUCGGAUUGUUUGGGAAUGCAGUCCAAAAUGGGUGGUAAAUUUCAUCUAAAGCUAAAUAUUGGCGAGAGACCGAUAGCGAACAAGUACCGUGAGGGAAAGAUGAAAAGAACUUUGAAAAGAGAGUUAAACAGUACGUGAAAUUGUCAAAAGGGAAGCGUUUGACACCAGUGUUGUUUUCUCGAAAAUCAAUUUAAUGAGUUCUUGUUUUUAAGUUAUUGUGACUUUAUCAGCGCAUUUCUUAUUUUACUUGACUCAUUGAAUGCACUUUUCGUUUAACAAGUCAACAUCAAUUUCUUUGGUGGUAAAAAGUUUAAAGGAAGGUGGCUUGGACUUCGGUUCAAGUGUUUAUAGCCUUUUUUCUAUGCCAUCGGAGAGAUUGAGGUCUGCAGCGUAGAUCCUUCGGGGUUAGAUACCUUUGUGCUAAGUUAUAGUUUUUUAUAGACAACUUGUUGACUAUAAUUAACCCUGUAAUUUACUCGCUUAGGCUAUUUUACCUACGCUUAGGAUGUUGACAAAAUGGUUUUAAACGACCCGUCU
Molecule: ribosomal RNA, 730 nt
Filed under: Neocallimastigaceae sp.
Lineage: Eukaryota; Fungi; Neocallimastigomycota; Neocallimastigomycetes; Neocallimastigales; Neocallimastigaceae
Description: partial large subunit ribosomal RNA
Rfam family: Eukaryotic large subunit ribosomal RNA
Source: RNAcentral